This 581-nucleotide ribosomal RNA is filed under the name uncultured Bacteroidota bacterium. RNAcentral's name for it is "bacterial SSU rRNA". It matches the Rfam family "Bacterial small subunit ribosomal RNA", at positions 338 to 918 of the family's 1533-position model. Lineage: Bacteria; Pseudomonadati; Bacteroidota. The record is from RNAcentral.
CCUACGGGAGGCAGCAGCUGAGGAAUAUUGGUCAAUGGACGGAAGUCUGAACCAGCCAUGCCGCGUGAAGGAUGAAGGCGUUCUGCGUUGUAAACUUCCUUUAUUAGGGAAGAAACCACUUUUUUCUAAGAGUGUUGACGGUACCUGAUGAAUAAGCACCGGCUAACUCCGUGCCAGCAGCCGCGGUAAUACGGAGGGUGCAAGCGUUAUCCGGAUUUACUGGGUUUAAAGGGUGCGUAGGCGGAUUAUUAAGUCAGUGGUGAAAUCCCGGGGCUCAACCUCGGAACUGCCAUUGAUACUAUUAGUCUUGAAUUAUGUUGAGGUUGGCGGAAUAUAACAUGUAGCGGUGAAAUGCUUAGAUAUGUUAUGGAACACCGAUUGCGAAGGCAGCUGGCUAAACAUAUAUUGACGCUGAUGCACGAAAGCGUGGGUAGCGAACAGGAUUAGAUACCCUGGUAGUCCACGCCCUAAACGAUGAUUACUCGUCAUUUGCGAUACACAGUGAGUGACCAAGCGAAAGCGUUAAGUAAUCCACCUGGGAAGUACGUUCGCAAGAAUGAAACUCAAAUGAAUUGACGGGG